Molecule: ribosomal RNA, 547 nt
Filed under: uncultured bacterium
Lineage: Bacteria
Description: bacterial SSU rRNA
Rfam family: Bacterial small subunit ribosomal RNA
Source: RNAcentral
AGGGAAUCUUCCGCAAUGGGCGAAAGCCUGACGGAGCAACGCCGCGUGAGUGAAGAAGGAUUUCGGUUCGUAAAGCCCUGUUGUUAGGGAAGAAUGAUUGUGUAGUAACUAUACACAGUAGAGACGGUACCUAACCAGAAAGCCACGGCUAACUACGUGCCAGCAGCCGCGGUAAUACGUAGGUGGCAAGCGUUGUCCGGAAUUAUUGGGCGUAAAGCGCGCGCAGGUGGUUUAAUAAGUCUGAUGUGAAAGCCCACGGCUCAACCGUGGAGGGUCAUUGGAAACUGUUAAACUUGAGUGCAGGAGAGAAAAGUGGAAUUCCUAGUGUAGCGGUGAAAUGCGUAGAGAUUAGGAGGAACACCAGUGGCGAAGGCGGCUUUUUGGCCUGUAACUGACACUGAGGCGCGAAAGCGUGGGGAGCAAACAGGAUUAGAUACCCUGGUAGUCCACGCCGUAAACGAUGAGUGCUAAGUGUUGGUCUCAUAAGAGAUCAGUGCUGCAGCUAACGCAUUAAGCACUCCGCCUGGGGAGUACGACCGCAAGGUUG